GAUUUCUGGUAAUGUGGGUACGGUCCGAGCCUUCUGGGUUUCGUGUAUCGUAUUGACUUGCCAUCCUUCCAGGUACUGACUGUGCCGUUAAAAGUGCAGCCACAUCUGGAUCUUUUACUUUGAAAAAAUUAGAGUGUUUAAAGCAGGCUUACGCUAUGAAUACAUUAGCAUGGAAUAAUGAUUUAGGACUUUUGUCCUUUUGUUGGUUUUCUAGGAUGAAAGUAAUGAUUGAUAGGGAUAGUUGGGGGUGCUAGUAUUUCGUCAACAGAGGUGAAAUUCUUGGACCGACGAAAGACUAACUUAUGCGAAAGCAUU
This 315-nucleotide ribosomal RNA is filed under the name uncultured Cercozoa. Its description in RNAcentral is "bacterial SSU rRNA". It matches the Rfam family "Eukaryotic small subunit ribosomal RNA", at positions 630 to 955 of the family's 1831-position model. Lineage: Eukaryota; Cercozoa. The record is from RNAcentral.